Molecule: ribosomal RNA, 473 nt
Filed under: uncultured organism
Description: partial 16S ribosomal RNA
Rfam family: Bacterial small subunit ribosomal RNA
Source: RNAcentral
ACACUCCUGCGGGAGGCAGCAGUGGGGAAUAUUGCACAAUGGGCGCAAGCCUGAUGCAGCCAUGCCGCGUGUGUGAAGAAGGCCUUCGGGUUGUAAAGCACUUUCAGCGGGGAGGAAGGCGAUACGGUUAAUAACCGUGUUGAUUGACGUUACCCGCAGAAGAAGCACCGGCUAACUCCGUGCCAGCAGCCGCGGUAAUACGGAGGGUGCAAGCGUUAAUCGGAAUUACUGGGCGUAAAGCGCACGCAGGCGGUCUGUCAAGUCGGAUGUGAAAUCCCCGGGCUCAACCUGGGAACUGCAUUGGAAACUGGCAGGCUUGAGUCUUGUAGAGGGGGGUAGAAUUCCAGGUGUAGCGGUGAAAUGCGUAGAGAUCUGGAGGAAUACCGGUGGCGAAGGCGGCCCCCUGGACAAAGACUGACGCUCAGGUGCGAAAGCGUGGGGAGCAAACAGGAUUAGAUACCCCUGUAGUCCCA